Molecule: transfer RNA, 89 nt
Filed under: compost metagenome
Description: tRNA-Ser
Rfam family: tRNA
About the family: Transfer RNA (tRNA) molecules are approximately 80 nucleotides in length. Their secondary structure includes four short double-helical elements and three loops (D, anti-codon, and T loops).
Source: RNAcentral
UGGAGAGAUACCGAAGUGGUCAUAACGGCGUUGCCUUGAAAGCAUCUGUGGUGUAAAAGCCCCGCGGGUUCGAAUCCUGCUCUCUCCGU